AUUUCAGGCUCUGCUGUGUCAAGUCGGGGAGCGGCUCUUUGCUCAGCUUAGAGAACUGGAAGAGGCCGCAACCUUCUGCCUGCUGGAGGCUGGAGGAUGGAUGGAGCCUGGAGCCUGGGACACUACCUUGCUGUGGUUGGUGGUGGCGACAGAGCAGUAAGAGGGUGGCCGGCAGCAGGAGCUUGUCCUGCUGGGCUGGAGGACUAGGAGAAGGAAGAGGCACCACCACAUGCUGGAGGCUGAAGCCUGGAGUCUGUGCCACCAUGGCUCGCCUCGCUGUGGUUGGUGGUGACGCUGGAGACUGCAGCUGGGCCACAGUGGUAGAAAUGUGAUGGGGCCCCAGUUCCUGGCCAGCUUUUGCCAGAAGGAGAGGCUGGACUUUGGAAGGUGGGUGUGAGUGCCUUCAAUGAAACGGAUCCCUGCCACCUAGUCACCAGCGUGACAAGAUGAGGCUCUAACGGUUCCACUCCCUGAGUCCUGUCUUGGGCUUUUCUGGCUUUGCCUGCCCAACUGCUCCAAGCCAGGCUGAAGGAGGAGAAGGAGGAGUCACCUGUGGUACGGUCGAGCAGAUGAUGUGGCUCUGCAGCUUGCCUCAUGUGUUUGGUGGUGGUGAUGGAGACCGCAGCUCAACUGGAGCAGUAGGAGGGCACCCACGGGGACCAGGCGGUUUUUGGGGAACAGGUGGCGUUUGAUUGUAAGAGUAAGUUCCUUAGAGGUUGGAAACACUCUCUUUACGGAAUCUGCAAAUGGACAUUUCAGAGCCUAUUGAGGCCUACACUGAAAAACCAAAUAUCCUGCAAUAAAAACUACAAAUAAGCUACCUGUGAAAAUGUUUUGUGAGGUUUGGAUUCAUCUCACAGAUUUAACCCUUUGUUUUGAUUCAGCAGGUAGGAAACUCUUUUUCUAAGAUCUACUCUGAGACAUUUCUGAGCCCAAUGAGGCCUAUAGUGAAAAACUGAAUAUCCCACUUUAAAAACCAGAAACAAGCUAUUUGAAAAUAUGCUUUGCAAUAUGUGGAUUUCUCUCACAGAGUUAUACCUGUGUUUUGAUUCUGUAGGUUGAAAAAAUUCUUGUUAUAGAAUCUAUGAGGGGAUAUUUCAAAGUGCACUGAGGCCUAUAGUGAAAAACAGAAUAUGCCAUGAUGAAAACUAGAAAGAAGCUAUUUGUGAAAAUGCUUUGUGAUGUGUGGAUUUAUCUCACAGAGUUAAGCCUUUGUUUUUAUUUUGCAGGUUGGAAAUACUCUUGUUGUAGAAUCUAUGAAGGGACAUUUCAGAGCUCAUUGAGGCCUAUAGAGAAAAAUCAAAUAUCCUGCGAUAAAAACUGUAAAGAAGCUACCUCUGAAAAUACUUUGUGAUGUGUGAUUUUAUCUCAGAAGUUGAACUUUUCAUUUGAUUCUGCAGGUUGGAAACUCUUUUUUUGUAGAAUCUACAAGGAGACAUUUCAUAGCCCAUUGAGGCCUAUAGUGAAAAAUCGAAUAUCCCUUGAUAAAGACUAGAAACAACCUAUCUGUAAAAAUGCUUUGUGAUGUGUAGAUUCAUUUUACAAAUUUAAACCUUUGUUUUGCUUCAUCAGGUUGGAAACUCUUUGAAUCUACAAAGGGACAAUUCAGGGCCCAUUGAGGCCUUUAGUGAAAAACCAAUUACCCUCAGUAAAAACUAGAUAUAAGCUAUGGGUGAAAAUGCUUUGUGAUGUGUGGAUUCAUCUCACAAGUUAAACCUUUGUUUUGAUUCAGCAGGUUGGAAACACUCUUUUAAUAGAGUUUAUGAGGGAAAAUUUCAGAGCCCAUUGAAGCCUCUUAAUAAAAACUGAUAAGAAAUAGAAACAAGCUAUCUGUGAAAAUGCUUUGUGAUGUGUGGGUUCAUCUCACAGAGUUAAACCUUUGUUUUGAUUCAGCAGGUUGUAAAGAUUCUUUUUGUAAAAUCUAUGAAGGAACACUGAAGGCCUACAGAGAAACAUCGAAUAUUCUGCAAUAAAAACUAGAAACAAGCUAUUUGUGAAAAAGCUUUGCUAUAAAUGGAUCUUUUUCACAGAGUUAAAUAUUUGUUAUUAUACACAGGUUGGAAACACAUAUUUAGUAGAAUCUAAGAGGAGUCUUUUUUGAGUCCAUUAAGGCCUGUGGUGAAAAACUCAAUAUCCCACAAUUAAAACUAGAAACAGGCUAUCUGUAAAUAUGCUUUGCAAUAUAUGUUUGCAUCUCACAGAGUUAAAUUUUGGGUUUUAUUCAGCAGGCUGGAGACACUUAUUUUUUACAGUCUACUUCGUGACAGUCUACUUCGUGAGGCCUAAAGUGAAAAACCGAGUAUCUUGUGAUAAAACUACAAUCAAUCUGUGAAAAUGCUUUGCAAUGUGUGGAUUCAUCUCAAUGAGUUAAAUGUUUGUUUUGAUUCAGCAGGUUAGAAAUACUCUCUUCGUAGAAUCUAUGAAGGAACAUUUCGGAGCCCUUUGAGGCUUAUAGUGAAAAGCUGAAUAUCCUGUGAUAAAAACUAGAAACAAACUGUCUGUGAAAAUGCUUUGUGAUGUGUGGAUUCAUCUCACAGAGUUAAACCUUUGCUUUUAUAGAGCAGUUUGGAAACAAUUUUUUAGUACAAUCUAAGGGGACAUUAUUGAGCCCAUUCAUUCCUAUAGUGAAAAACAAAAUAUCCUGUCAUAAAAACUAAAACAAACUAUCUGUAAAAAUGUUUUGCAAUGUGUGGAUUCAUCUCAAAGAGUUAAACCUCUGUUUUGAUUCAGCAGGUUGGAAACACUCUUUUUGUAGAAUCUGCAAAGCAACAUUUCAGACCCCAUUCAGGCCUAUAGUGAAAAAUCAAAUAUCCCGCAAUAAAAACUAGAAGCAAGCUAUCCAUGAAAAUGCUUUGUGAUGUGUGGAUUUAUCUCACUGAGUUAAACGUUUGUUUUGAUUCAGCAGCAAAUGUCCUGCAAUAAAAACUACAAAGAAGCUAUGACUAAAAAUGCUUUGUGAUGUGUGACUUUAUCUCACAGAGUUUAACCUUUCUUGUCAUUCAGCAGGUUGGAAACACUCUUUUUCUACAAUCUACAAAGGUACAUUUUGGAGCAAAUUGAGGGUUAUACUGAAAAAUCGAUUAUCUCACAAUACAAACUAGGAAAAAGUUAUCCGUGAAAAUGCUUCGCAAUGUGUGAAUCCAUCUCACAAAUUUAAACCUUUGUGUUCAUUCAGCAGGUUGGAAACACUGUUGUUGUUGAAUAUGCGAAGGGACAUUUCAGAGCUAAUUGAGGCCUAUAGUGAAAAACCGAAUAUCCCAUGAUAAAAACUAUAAAGAAGCUAUCUCUGAAAAUAUUUUGUGAUGUGUGAUUUUCAUCUCACAAGUUGAACUUUUGUUUUUAUUCAGCAGGUUAGAAACUCCUUUUGUAGAAUCUACGACGGGACAUUUCAUAGCCCAUUGAGGCCUACAGUGAACAAACAAAUAUGCCUUGAUAAAAACUAGAAACAACUUAUCUGUGAAAAUGCUUUGCAAUGUGUAUAUUCAUCUUACAAAUUUAAACCUUUGUUUUGCUUAGCCGGUUGGAACCUCUUUGUUUGUAGAAUCUACAAGGGAAUAUUUUGGGACUCAUUGAGGCCUAUAGUGAAAAUAACAUAUCUCACGGUAAAAACUAGAAAAAAGCUAUGAGUGAAAAUGCUUUGCGAUGUAUGGGUUUAUCUCACAAUAUUAAACCUUUGUUUUGAUUCAGCAGGUUGAAAACACUGUUUUCGUAGAAUCUAUGAAGGGACAUUUUGGAGCCUAUUGAUGCCUAUGGUGAAAAACUGAAUACCCCACAAUAAAAACUAUAAACAACCUAUCUGUGAAAAUGCUUUGCAAUAUGUGGAUUCAUCUCACAGAGUUGAACCUUUGUCUUGAUUCAGCAUGUUUGAAAUACUGUUUUUGUAGAAUCUACAAGGGAUAAUUUCAGAGCAAAUUGAGGCCUAUAGUAUAAAAUCUAAUAUCCUGCAAUAAAAACUAGAAAAAAUCUAUCUGUAAAAAUGCUUUGUGAUAUGUGGGUUCAUCUCACAAAGGUAAAUCUUUAUUUUGAUUCAGCAAGUUGGAAACACUUUUCUUUGUAGAAUCUACAAGGGGACAUUUCAUAGCCCAUGGAGGCCUAUAGUGAAAAACUGAAUAUUCCAUGAUAGAAACUAAAGAAGCUAUAUGUGAAAAUACUUUGCAAUGUGUGGUUUCAUCUCACAUAGUUUAAACUUUAUUUUGAUUCAGCUAGGUUGGAAGCAUUCUUUUUGUAGAAUAUAUGAAGGGACAUUUUGGAGUCCAUGGAGGCCUAUAGUGAAAAACUGAAUAUUCCAUGAUAGAAACUAAAGAAGCUAUAUGUGAAAAUACUUUGCAAUGUGUGGUUUCAUCUCACAUAGUUUAAACUUUAUUUUGAUUCAGCUAGGUUGGAAGCAUUCUUUUUGUAGAAUAUAUGAAGGGACAUUUUGGAGUCCAUUGAGGCCUAUAGUGAAAAACCAAAUAUCCCAUCAUUAAAAACUAGAACUAAGCUAUCUGUGAAAUAGCUUUGCAAUGUGUGGAUUCAUGUCACAGAGCUAAACUUUUGUUUCUAUACAGCAUAUUGGAAACACACUAUUAGUAGAAUCUAAGAUGGGACAAUUCAGAGCCUUUUGAAGCUUAUAGUAAAAAAUUCAAAAUGUGGCAAAAUUUACAUACAAACUAUCUGUAAAAAUGCUUUGUGAUGCGAAGAUUCAUCUCACAGUGUUAAACAUUUGUUUUGAUUCAGCAUGUUGGAAAAAAUUUUUUGUAGAAUCUACAAAGGGACUUUUCGGAGCCCAUUGAGACCAAUAUUGAAAAAAUGAAUAUCCAGCUAUAAAAACUAGAAACAAGCUCUCGGUGAAAAUGCUUUGCAAUGUGUGGAUUCAUCUCUCAGAGUUAAACUUUUAUUUUGAUUCACCCAGUUGGAGACACUUAAUUGGUAGAAUCUAUUAGGGGACAUUUCAUAGCCCAUUGAGGCAUGUGGUGAAAAACUGAAUAUCCCGCAAUAAAAACCUGAAACAAGCGACCUGUGAAAAUGCUUUGUGAUGUGUGGAUUCAUCUCACAGAGUUAAACCUUUGUGUUGAUUCAGUAGGGUUGGAAAGACUUUUUUUAGAAACUACAAAGGAACAUUUUGUAGCCCAUUGAGGCCUAUAGUGAAAAACCGAAUAUCCGGUGAUAAAAACUAGAAACAAGCUAUUUGUGAAAAUGCUUUGCAUUGUAUAGAUUUAUCUCUAAUAGUCAAACCUUUGUUUUUAUACUGCAGUUUUGAAACGUUAUUUUAGUAGAACGUAAAGGAAGACAUUUCUGAUCCCUUUGAGGCCUAUAGUGAAAAACCGAAUAUCCCACAAUAAAAACUAGAAACAAGCUGUGAAAACGCUUUGGGAUGUGUAGAUUCAUCUGACACUGUGAAAAUGCUUUGUGAUGUGUAGAUUCGUCUCACAGAGUUAAACUUUGAUUAUAUACAGCAGGUUGGAAACAUUUAUUUUGUAGCAUUUAAGAAGGUACAAUUAAGAGUCCAUUGAAGCCUACAGUGAAAAACCCAAUAUCCAGUGAUAAAAACUAGAAACAAGCUGUGAAAAUUCUUUGCAACAUGUGGAUUCAUCUCACAGAGUUAAACCUUUGUUUUGAUUCAGUAGGUUGGAAGCAACUCUUUUUUUGAAUCUACAGAUUGACAUUAAAGAGCCCAUUGAGGCCCAUACUGAAAAACUGAAUAUCCUGUGAUAAAAACUAGAAACAAGCUGUCUGUGAAAAUGCUUUGCAAGGUUUAGAUUCAACUCACAGAGUUAAACCUUUGUUUUGAUUCAGCAGGAGGGAAACAAUUUUGUAAAAUCUACUAUGAGACAUUUCAGAGCAAAUUGAGGCUGAUAGUAAAAGUCCAAAUAUCCCUCGAUAUAAACCUGAAACAAGCAAUCUGUGAAAAUAAUUUUUGAUGUGUAGAUUCCUCUCAAAAAGUUAUACCUUUGUUUUGAAUCAGCAGGUUGAAAACACUUUUUUUGUGUGUAAUCUAUGAAGGGACAAGCUAUCUGACAAGGAUUUCAGAGCCCAUUGAGGCGUAUAGUGAAAAACAAAAAAUUCCAAACUAUCUGUGAAAAUGCUUUGCAAUAUGUGGAUUCAUCUCACAAAGAUAAAAGUUUGUUUUGAUUCAGCAGGUUGGCAACACUGUUUUUGUAGAAUCUAUAAGAGGACAUAUUUACAAGAGGUCCACUGAUGCCUAUGGUGAAAAACUGAAUAUCCCACUUUAAAAACUAGAAACAAGCUAUCUGAAAAUAUGCUUUGUGAUGUGUGCAUUCCUUUCACAUAGUUAUACCUUUGUUUUGAUUCAGAAGUUUGAAAACACUCUUGUUAUAGAAUUUUCGAAGGGACAUUUCAGAGUGCAAUGAGGCCUGUAGUGAAAAACCAAAUAUCUCACAAUAAAAACUAGAAACAAGAUAUUUGUGAAAAUGCUUUGCCAUGUGUGAAUUUAUCUCUCAUAUUUAAACCUUUAUUUUGAUUCAGCCUGUUGGAAACACUCUUUUUAUAGAAUCUAAAAAAGAAUAUUUCAAAGCCGCUAGAUGGCUAUACUGAACAACCGAAUACUCCACGAUAAAAACUAGAAACAGGCUAUCUUUGAAAAUGCUUUGUGAUGUGUGGAUUCAUCUCACAGAGUUAAAGCUUUCUUGUGAUUCAGCAGGUUGGAAGUACUCUUUUUGUAGAAUCUACAAGGGGAAGUUUUGGAGCAAAUUGAGGCCUACAUUAUACAAUCGAAUAUUCUGUGAUAAAAACGAAAAAAAAAAUCUAGCUGUAAAAAUGCCUUGUGAUGUGUGGUUUUACCUCACAAAGUUAAAUAUUUUUUUUUUUGAUUCAACAAGUUGGAAACACCUUUUCUGUAGACCUACGAGGGGAUAUUUCAUAGCUCAUGGAAGCAUAUAGUGAAAAACUGAAUAUCCCGUGAUGGAAACUAAGGAAGUUAUAUGUGAAAAUGCUUUGCAAUGUGUGGUUGUAUCUCACAGAGUUUAACUUUCUUUUGAUUCAGCUAGGUUAGAAACACUCUUUAUGUAGAAUGUACAAAGGGACAUUUCAGAGCCGAUUGAGGCCCAUUUCAAAAAACCAUAUAUCCUGUGACAAAAACAAGAAGCAAGCUAUCUGUGAAAUAGCUUUCCAAUGUGGGGAUAUUUCAGAGACCUUUGAGACCAAUAUUGAAAAAAUGAAUAUCCUGCAAUGAAAACUAGAAACAACCUCUUGAAGCCCAUUGAAGCCUAUAGCAAAAAACUGAAUAUCCCAUGAUAAAAAAUAGAAACAAGCUAUUUGUGAAAAUGCUUUGUGAUGUGUGAGUUCAUCUCACAGAGUUAAACCAUUGUUUUGAUUCAGCUGGUAGAAGACACUUAACUGGUACUACUAGAGGACAUUUUGUAGCCCACUGAGGCCUGUGGUGAAAAUCCAAAUAUCCCAUGAUAAAACUAGAAACAAGCUAUCUGUGAAAAUGCUUUGUGAUAUGUGGGUUCAUCUCACAGAGUUAAACCUUGUUUUGAUUCACCAGGUUGGAAAGACUCUUUUUGUAGAAUAUAUGAAGAAACAUUUCACAGCCCAUUGAGGCCUAUAAUGAAAAACUGAAUAUCCGGUGAUACAAACUAGAAACAAGCUAUUUGUGAAAAAGCUUUGUGAUGUGUGGAUUUCUUUCACAGGGUUAAAUAUUUGUUAUUAUACAUCAAGUUGGAAACACAUAUUUAAUAGAAUCUAAGAGGAGUCUUUUUGAGCCUAUUAAAAUCUGUAGUGAAAAACCAAAUAUCCCAUGAUUAAAACUAGAAACAGGCUCUCUGUAAAUAUGUUUGUGAUAUAUGGAUGCAUCUCACAUAGUUAAAUUUUGGUUUUUAUUCAGAAGGUUGGAGACACUUAUUUUUUUCAAUCUACUUGGUGACAAUACAGUUCUCAUUAAUGCCAAUAGUGAAAAUUCAAAUAUCCUGUGAUAAAAUUACAAACAAUCUGUGAAAAUGUUUUGCAAUGUGUGGAUUUAUCUCAAUGAGUUAAAUGUUUGUUUUGAUUCAGCAGUUUGGAAACACUCUGUGCGAUGUGUGGAUUCAUCUCACACAGUUAAACAUUUGUUGCCAUUCAGCAGGAUGGAAACAAUCUUUUUGUAGAAUCUACAAGGGUCAUUUUGACACCCGUUAAGGCUUAUAGUGAAAACCUGGAUAUCCUGAGAUAAAAACUAGAAAGAAGCUAUGUGUGAAAAUGCUUUGCAAUGUGUAAAUUCACCUCAUAGAGUUAAACCUUCAUUUUAAUUCAGAAGGUUGGAAACACUUUUUUUGUAGAAAGGACAUUUUGGAGCCUUUUGAAGCCUAUGGUGAAACCAGAAUAUCCCACAAUAAAUAUUAGAAGCAAGGUAUCUGUGAAAAUGCUUUGUGACAUGUGGAUUCAUCUUACAGAAUUAAACCUUUCUCCUGAUUCUGCAGGUUGGAAAUUCUCCUUUUGUAGAAUCUACAAAGAAAUAUUUUGGAGCCCAUUGAGGCUCAAAUAUCCUGCAAUAAACACUAGAAACUAGCUAUCUGUGAAAAUGAUUGGCGAUGUGUGGAUUAAUUUCACAAAAUUAAAACUUUGUUUUGAUUCAGCACUUUUGAACCACUUUUUUUGUAGCAUCUACGAAGGAACACUUCAGAGUCCUUUGACAGAAAGGGUUAUAGAGGGUUAUAGAGAAAAACGGAAUAUUCCAUGAUAAAAACUAGAAGCAAGUUCUCUGUGAAAAUUCUUUGCAAUGUGUAAAUUCAUCUCACAGAGUUAAACCUUUGCAUUGAUUCAGCAAGUUGGAAACACUCUCUUGUACAAUCUAUGAGGGGAUAUUUGGGAGCCCGUUGAGGCCUAUAGUAAAAAUUUGAGUGUCCCAUAAGAAAAACUAGGAAGAAUUUAUGUCUGAAGAUGCUCUGUAAUGUGUGAUUUCAUCUCACAGCUUUAAACCUUUCUUUUGAUUCUGUAGGUUGGAAUCACUAUUUUUCUUAGAAUCUAUGAAAAGACAUUUUGGAGCAAAAUGAGGACUAUAAUGAAAAAUUGAAUAUCCCACAAUAAAAAUUAGAAACAAGCUGUCUGUGAAAAUGCUUGGCAAUGUGUGGAUUCAUCUCACACAUCUCACAGAGUUAAACCUUUGUUUUGAUUCAGCAGGCCAAAAUUACUCUUUUGGUAAAAUCUACGAAGGAACAUUUUGGAGCCCAUUGAUGCCUGAGGUAAAAAACUGAAAACUGAAUAUCUUGUGAUAAAAACUAGAAACAAGCUUUCUGUGAAAAUGCUUUACAAUGCAUCAUUUUAUGUCACAGAGUUAAAUCUUUGUUUUGAUUCAGCUGGUUAAAAACACUCUUGUAGAAACUAUGAGAGGACAUUUCAGAACAUGUUGAAGUCUAUAGUGAAUAACAAAAUAUCCCGCAAUAAAAACUAGAAGCAAGCUAUCUAUGAAAAUGCUUUGUGAUGUGUGCAUUUAUCUUGCAGAUCUAAACAUUGUUUUGAUUCAUCAGGUGAGAAACACCCUUUUGAUGCAAUGUACAAACGGACGUUUCAGAGCCCACUGAGCCCCAUAGUCAUAAAACCAAAUAUCCUGCUAUAAAACUGGAAACGAGCUAUCUGUGAAAAUGUUUUGUGAUGUGUGGAUUCAUCUCAUAUAGUUAACCCUUUAUUUUGAUUCAGCAGGAUGAAAACACUCUUUGUGUAAAACCUACAAAAGGGAGGUUGGAAACACUCUUAUUGUGAAAUUUACGAAGGGACAUUUUGGAGCCCACUGAAGCCUAUGUGAAAAACCAAAUAUCUCACCAUUAAAACUAGCUAAACAAACUACCCAUGAAAAUGCUUGGCCAUAUGUGGAAUAAUUUUACAGAGUUAAAUCUUUGUUUUUAUUCAGCAAGUUGGAAAUGCUCUCUUGUACAAUCUACGAGGGGACAUUUUGGAGCCCAUUGAGGCUUGGAGUGAAAAACCAAAUAUCCAGCAAUAAAAACUAGAAACAAGCAAUCUGCAAAAAUGCUUUGUGAUGUGUUCAUUUAUUUUGCAGAGUUAAAACUUCAUUUUGAUUCAACAGGUUAAAAACACUCUUGUAGAAUAUAGGAAGUGACAUUUCUAAGCCCAUUGAGGCCUAUACUGAAAAACUGAAUAUCUCACAACAAAAACUAGAAAAAAAUCUAUCUGUGAAAAUACUUUGCAAUGUGAGGAUUUAUCUCACAGAGCAGGAUGAAAACACACUUUUUGUAAAUCUACAAAGAGGACUUUGGAAAAACUCUUUUUAUGAAUCUACAAAGGGACAUUUUGGAGCCCAUUCAGGUCUACAGUAGAAAACCAAAUAUUCCAGGAUAAAAACUAAAAACAAGCUAUCUGUGAAAAUGCUUCUUGAUGUGUGCAUUCACCAAAUAUAGGUAAACUUUUUUUUUGAUUCAGCAGGUUGGAAACCCUCUUUUUAUAGAAUCUACAAAGGGGCAUUUCGAAGCCCAUUGAGGCCUAUAGUGAAAAAUUGAACAUUCAACAAUAAAAACUAGUAACAAGCUAUAUUUGAAAUUGCUUUGUGAUGUGUGGGUUCAUCUCACUGUUACAUCAUCAUUUUGAUUUAGCAGGUUGGAAAUGCUCUUUUGUAGAAUCUAUGAAGGAACAUUUGGAAUCGCAUUAAAGCCUAUAGAGAAAAACUGAAUAUUCUGCAAUAAAAACUAGGAACGAGGUAUCUGUGAAAAUGCUCUUCGAUGUGUGCAUUCAUCUCACAGAGAUAAACAUUUCUUUUGAGUCAUCAGAUUGGAAACUCUUU
RNAcentral lists this long non-coding RNA (10708 nucleotides) under Homo sapiens (human). Its description in RNAcentral is "HSALNT0389137". Lineage: Eukaryota; Metazoa; Chordata; Mammalia; Primates; Hominidae. The record is from RNAcentral.